AGUGAACGCUGGCGGUAGGCCUAACACAUGCAAGUCGAACGGCAGCACAGUAAGAGCUUGCUCUUACGGGUGGCGAGUGGCGGACGGGUGAGGAAUACAUCGGAAUCUACUUUUUCGUGGGGGAUAACGUAGGGAAACUUACGCUAAUACCGCAUACGACCUACGGGUGAAAGCAGGGGAUCUUCGGACCUUGCGCGAUUGAAUGAGCCGAUGUCGGAUUAGCUAGUUGGCGGGGUAAAGGCCCACCAAGGCGACGAUCCGUAGCUGGUCUGAGAGGAGGAUCAGCCACACUGGAAGUGAGACACGGUCCAGACACCGACGGGAGGCAGCAGUGGGGAAUAUUGGACAAUGGGCGCAAGCCUGAUCCAGCCAUACCGCGUGGGUGAAGAAGGCCUUCGGGUUGUAAAGCCCUUUGUUGGGAAAGAAAAGCAGCAGGUUAAUACCCCGCUGUUCUGACGGUACCCAAAGAAUAAGCACCGGCUAACUUCGUG
RNAcentral lists this ribosomal RNA (491 nucleotides) under uncultured bacterium. RNAcentral describes it as "partial 16S ribosomal RNA". It matches the Rfam family "Bacterial small subunit ribosomal RNA", at positions 29 to 507 of the family's 1533-position model. The record is from RNAcentral.